RNAcentral lists this ribosomal RNA (216 nucleotides) under Escherichia coli. Its description in RNAcentral is "partial 16S ribosomal RNA". It matches the Rfam family "Bacterial small subunit ribosomal RNA", at positions 1318 to 1533 of the family's 1533-position model. Lineage: Bacteria; Pseudomonadati; Pseudomonadota; Gammaproteobacteria; Enterobacterales; Enterobacteriaceae. The record is from RNAcentral. RNAcentral also lists the same sequence under 5 other names.
CCAUGAAGUCGGAAUCGCUAGUAAUCGUGGAUCAGAAUGCCACGGUGAAUACGUUCCCGGGCCUUGUACACACCGCCCGUCACACCAUGGGAGUGGGUUGCAAAAGAAGUAGGUAGCUUAACCUUCGGGAGGGCGCUUACCACUUUGUGAUUCAUGACUGGGGUGAAGUCGUAACAAGGUAACCGUAGGGGAACCUGCGGUUGGAUCACCUCCUUA